This 253-nucleotide ribosomal RNA is filed under the name uncultured bacterium. RNAcentral's name for it is "partial 16S ribosomal RNA". It matches the Rfam family "Bacterial small subunit ribosomal RNA", at positions 524 to 776 of the family's 1533-position model. The record is from RNAcentral.
UACGUAUGGUGCGAGCGUUGUCCGGAUUUACUGGGCGUGAAGGGGGCGCAGGCGGCGCGCCAAGCCCGAUGUGAAAGCCCGGGGCUCAACCCCGGGACUGCAUUGGGAACUGGCGUGCUGGAGUGCCGGAGGGGCAGGCGGAAUUCCUGGUGUAGCGGUGAAAUGCGUAGAUAUCAGGAGGAACACCGGUGGCGAAGGCGGCCUGCUGGACGGAUACUGACGCUGAGGCCUGAAAGCGUGGGGAGCAAACAGG